RNAcentral lists this ribosomal RNA (462 nucleotides) under uncultured bacterium. RNAcentral's name for it is "partial 16S ribosomal RNA". It matches the Rfam family "Bacterial small subunit ribosomal RNA", at positions 28 to 507 of the family's 1533-position model. The record is from RNAcentral.
GACGAACGCUGGCGGCGUGCUUAACACAUGCAAGUCGAGCGGAAAGGCCCUUCGUGGUACUCGAGCGGGGAACGGGUGAGUAACACGUGAGUAACCUGCCCCCUACUUUGGGAUAACCACCGGCAACAGGGGCUAAUACCGGAUACGACACAGCGUCGCAGGGGGUCGGGGUGGAAAGUUCCUCGGGCUAGGAUGGGCGCGGGGCCUAUCAGCUUGUUGGGGGGGGGUUGGCGUCCCAAGGGGACGACAGGUAGCUGGCCUGAGAGGGGGACCGGCCACACUGGGACUGAGGGACGGCCCAGACGCGUACGGGAGGCAGCAGGGGGGAAUAUUGCACAAUGGGCGGAAGCCUGAGGCAGCGACGCUGCGUGAGGGAUGACGGCCUUCGGGUUGUAAACCUCUUUCAGCAGGGACGAAGCGUAAGUGACGGUACCUGCAGAAGAAGCGCCGGCCAACUACGUG